AUGGCGUCCAAGAGGAUCCUCAAGGAGCUCAAGGACCUGCAGAAGGACCCUCCCACCUCAUGCAGCGCAGGUCCUGUAGGUGAGGACAUGUUCCACUGGCAGGCCACUAUCAUGGGACCCUCGGACAGCCCGUUCACCGGUGGCCUAUUUUUGGUGAACAUUCAUUUCCCACCGGAUUACCCCUUCAAGCCCCCGAAGGUCUCUUUCCGCACCAAGGUGUUCCACCCAAACAUCAACAGCAACGGCAGCAUUUGCCUUGACAUUCUCAAGGAACAGUGGAGCCCGGCUUUGACCAUAUCAAAGGUCCUGCUGUCAAUCUGUUCGUUGCUGACGGACCCGAACCCCGAUGAUCCUCUGGUGCCCGAGAUCGCUCACAUGUACAAGACUGAUAGGGCCAAGUAUGAGUCCACGGCGCGCUCCUGGACACAGAAGUACGCCAUGGGCUAG
RNAcentral lists this ribosomal RNA (447 nucleotides) under Triticum aestivum (bread wheat). Its description in RNAcentral is "partial small subunit ribosomal RNA". Lineage: Eukaryota; Viridiplantae; Streptophyta; Magnoliopsida; Poales; Poaceae. The record is from RNAcentral.